GACGAACGCUGGCGGCGUGGAUUAGGCAUGCAAGUCGCGCGACGGUCUUCCUUCGGGGAGAUACGGAGCGGCGAACGGGUGAGUAACACGUGAGGAACCUGUCCCUACUUUCCGGAUAAUUGGCCGAAAGGCCUUGUAAUACGGGGGAGGGUCUUUGGUGGGCAUCCACUAAAGAAGGAAGGCGCAAGCCGAGCAGGGAGGGUCCCGCGGCCUAUCAGCUUGUUGGGGAGGUAACGGCUCACCAAGGCGACGACGGGUAGCGGGUCUGAGAGGAUGAUCCGCCGGACGGGGACUGAGACACGGCCCAGACUCCUACGGGAGGCAGCAGUGGGGAAUCUUGCACAAUGCGCGAAAGCGUGAUGCAGCAACGCCG
Molecule: ribosomal RNA, 373 nt
Filed under: uncultured bacterium
Lineage: Bacteria
Description: bacterial SSU rRNA
Rfam family: Bacterial small subunit ribosomal RNA
Source: RNAcentral